UGAGCAUGUAACUCAGUGGAUUAGAGUACCAAAUUCCGACUUUGGUUGUCGAAGGUUCAAAUCCUUCCCUGCUCAU
This 76-nucleotide transfer RNA is filed under the name Caloglossa beccarii. Its description in RNAcentral is "tRNA-Arg". It matches the Rfam family "tRNA". From Rfam's summary of the family: Transfer RNA (tRNA) molecules are approximately 80 nucleotides in length. Their secondary structure includes four short double-helical elements and three loops (D, anti-codon, and T loops). The record is from RNAcentral. Lineage: Eukaryota; Rhodophyta; Florideophyceae; Ceramiales; Delesseriaceae.